This 1451-nucleotide long non-coding RNA is filed under the name Astyanax mexicanus (Mexican tetra). Its description in RNAcentral is "lncRNA (ENSAMXG00005013939.1)". Lineage: Eukaryota; Metazoa; Chordata; Actinopteri; Characiformes; Acestrorhamphidae. The record is from RNAcentral.
AAAUUGAAUCAGAUCUUUUCUGCUGAAGAUGUGAAGCUGCUUUUUUACAGAUUACAAUGAUAACUGAACAGCAAUCUGACAUUCAUAUGUGUGAUUAUAAUCCUGCAUUUAUAUUAUUUCUUUAUUUUCAUCUAUAAAGACUAUCCCUCCCGCUGAGUUAUUGUUAUUGUCUGGUAAAGAGAAAAUGAUAUCUCCGCUUAGUAUAUAAUCUGCCUUUACUGUCUGCAUGCCUGUGUGUGUUAAGGUUAGCAUCCAGGUGAGGAAGUGUCAACAGGCUUGUUCAGGUGCAAUAAUAUUAAGGUGUGUGAAUAAUCAGGUAAAUAAGAGCUCAUUUAAAUGAGGUUUCAGAAAUUUAACUGUUCAGGUCAUAGAGUAUUCAGAAGAAUGGCCUUUAAGGGGAGAGGAUGAAUGUGCAUUCAGAUGGGCAGGUUUUCAGAAAUGAAAGUGUUAUGGUAAAAGAGUGUUCAGGUUAGUUGGUAAGUGAGUGUUUAGAAAUGUAAGCACUGAGUUGAAUUGCUAUUCAAGUGAGUGUUUAGGAAAGUACGUGUGGAGGGGAAUACGUUUUCAGGUAAAGUAUUCAGGUAAGGGGAUGUUCAGUUAAAUGUGCAUUCAGUGUUCAGAAGAGCAUUUAAAAAUUUAAGUGUUCAGUUUAGUGAGUGUUCAGGAGAUUGUAAUCUCUGUUAUGAGAGUUCAGGUCAGUGUUCAGGAAUGUAUGCUUCCAGGUGAGGGAGUGUUCAGGAAUGUAUGCUUUCAGGUGAGGGAGUGUUCAGGUGAGUGUUUAGGAAUGUAUGCUUUCAGAUAAGGUAGUGUUCAGGUGAGUGUUUAGGAAUGUAUGCUUUCAGGUGAGGGUUGGUCAGGAAUGUAUGCUUUUAGGUGAGGGAGUGUUCAGGUGGGUUUUUUUUAGGAAUGUAUGCUUUCAGGUGAGGGAGUGUUCAGGUGAGUGUUUAGAAAUGUAUUCUUUUAGGUGAGGGAGUGUUUAGGAAUGUAUGCUUUCAGGUGAGGUAGUGUUCAGGAAUGUAUGCUUUUAGAUAAGCAAGUGUUUAGGAAUGUAUGCUUUCAGAUAAGGUAGUGUUCAGGUAAGUAUUCAGGAAUGUAUUUUUUGAGGUGAGCGAGUGUUCAGGUAAAUGUCCUGUAAGGUGAGCAGAUGUGUAAGUGUUCAGGGAGUGAACAUACAUGUAGGUUAGCAUUCAGGUGAGUUAGAGUUUAGGUGAGUGUGUGUGAGUGUGUGUGUGUAUUCCCCCUCUUUCUCUAAUCUCCUGAUUACUUAAUUGGAUCAGUUAUUGGAGCAGGUCCGGGCCUGGGUGAUCAAGGAAUAACCAAGAACAGCCAGGGGAGGAUUUCUACUAUCCCAGGAACUCCCUGCAGGGGGUGAGGACACACACACACACACACACACACGCACACACACUCCUUUCUGCUCUGUCCUCCAAUACACACAUGCAGCAUAAAAG